AUGCACUGUGCGGGAAUGGCGGGUCUCUUCUCUUCCCGAAGUGCAGAGCAGGCAGGCGCUGGCAGCGGGCUGUUUUCGGGACUGCUGACUCACCGGGGCUGUGUGGCGCACAGCCUCGGCCCUGAGCCCGCGGGACGGGUUAAACUGGCGCCACAUGAAGGAACUGAAAGGCAACUGAAUAAGGCUGGCCCGGUCUGCAGUCCAAAUGCAAGGAACUCAGAUCCAAGAUGGCUGGGCAAGGGAUUCACUGAGAACGAGCAAAUCUUGGACAGACUCUGCAAAAUGAGACUGGAAUUGGGUGUCCUACCACUACCACACAUGAGGGCUUCACUUCACUGGGGGAUAGCUGAUUCAGAGCACCAUGAGAUGGAGGUGCAAAAUCCACAGAUCCUUGUAUCCUCCUCUUUCUCGUUUUCUUGGCCACCUCGGGGAAGUCCUGUCUGUUAUCCAAGCUUGAACCCUCUGCUCCAGAGCAUGCUCAGCAGCGAGUAGCUUGCUAAAGUACCAGGUCUUGGGCGUCUCUACAGCCGGGAAGCUGCUGCCUCCCACUGCCUACAUCAGUGCCAGAGAUACUGUCUCCAUGGCAACAGAGAGCUUUUUUUGUUUUUCUGAUGAACAGUUUCAAGGAAUAGAAAAAAGCACAUCUGGAGUUGCCUUAUCAGCUGCUCCCUGCCCCCCUGCCUGCCAGAGUCAACAAGAGACAAUACCUCAGUUUUAGCAGACCUGGGCUGAACAUCCCAGGAGACAGAAUGAAAGCAAGUGAGGUGUACAAGAGAGAGGAGUGUAUUAUUGAUUUAAGGAUGGCUUUGGGUUGGUUACCUUACUGUUUUCAUGUUAGGGGCUUUUCAUGGGAGUAGCUCAACCACACGAGCCUGCUGUGUAUUUUCUAUCUGUUAUGUGUUGCUGAACAUCUGAGCAGGACUCACUUUUGUAUCCCUCAUUCAUAAAGGCAGUUUCUAAGUUUCUAAGCCGUUUGUUCAGCCGUACUUUUCUUAUGGGAUAGAAAAUUCUUACGUAUUUUUUGGGAGUCAGUGCUUCAAAAAAGUUCUUUAGAAUUGUCAUUAUUUUCACUUUCUGUGUCUAGUUCUAGGAACAAGUGUUUUGCCACUGUUGUCUGCUGUGUAAGAAAGCCUCUUUUUUACAAAGAGAAGCCAUUUCUUAAUGGCUUCUGGGUUAUCAAACAGGAAAGCUGUUACUGUCAUAUAUAACCCACUGUAUGUGGUUUCUUUAACUUCUUCGACUCUUAUGGAUCAUUUUUUGGUCUGUUCUCAGAAAGGAGAUCAGGUGAUCCUGUUCCUUCCCUGCCUCACACCAUCCUCUUUUGAAUACAGCAGUUCUAGCAGACAAUUUAACAAAGAGGUGAUGCUGGCUGGCUGUGUCCAGCACAGGAAGAGGCAGAGGAAUUGGGCUCCCUGCCAUCAACCUCUAACUUCAGCAGGCGGGAUGUGGGAAAAAGCAAAACCCAACCCCAGCCAAAUAAAGCUGGCCUGCAAAAGACCUUCAUUCCUGAAGAAUUUUUGAAUUAAAUACUGGCUACAGCCAGCCAGAUUCCACUGAAAAUGACUAUGUCAACUGGUUUUAAAUAACAGUCUUUCAUGUAUGUGCUUUUUAUGUUUCUUCCUAUUGUCUGUUGAUUUCCCCAUAGACACCGAC
Molecule: long non-coding RNA, 1653 nt
Filed under: Taeniopygia guttata (zebra finch)
Lineage: Eukaryota; Metazoa; Chordata; Aves; Passeriformes; Estrildidae
Description: lncRNA (ENSTGUG00000025463.1)
Source: RNAcentral